Molecule: long non-coding RNA, 1036 nt
Organism: Acanthopagrus latus (yellowfin seabream)
Lineage: Eukaryota; Metazoa; Chordata; Actinopteri; Spariformes; Sparidae
Exons: 3
Source: RefSeq, a predicted model, not a curated record
GGUGUAACGAUCAGUUCAGCACUUUGACAUGUUAAUACACUGAACGUGUUAUUUCACCAGAGCGCGCACACAGAGCGUGCUAACUGGCUAGCUGCUUCACGUAGGAGUGAACGGAGCCGUGUUAGCUUGUCUUAGCUUGUGUUAGCUCGACAGGUUUAAUCGUUGCGGCUUCUGUUUAAGUACGUGACGGUUGAAGCCGCCGCCUCGCAUGACACUGAGCGUGUCAAUCGUAUAGUAUCUACAUAAAAUACGUGAAACACGUGAAACCAGAACACAUUCGGUUUGGACGGAGAGCCGAGUUGUGAUGCUGCAGCGGCCGCCAUGUUUGUUUCCACUGCGCAGGCGCGGCGGUGUGACGAAUCGUUUAUCUGAUCGUUUCUGCUCAUCGAGCUCGAAGUUGCGAAUAGUUUUGAAAUACCCGGUAAAAAGUCGGCGAGAGGAUCUUUGACUGAGAUGGUGCAGGUUUCAUCACCCGGAACCUUCUGAUCCGGAUUCUGAGUUCUGUGAGCAGCUUCUUCUUCUCCUCAUCCAGAUGAUGGUUGGACACGUUCUGACGUCACUCUGAUGUGUUUACACUCUGAAGUUACGAGGAUGUGACGGCGUCCUCAGAUCAGAUGCACACAGACACCAGGACUGACCAGGAAGAAACGAGCAGCUUCUUCUCUCCCAGUGUUUCCUCCACACAUGAAGCUGGAAAGUGUCUGAAAGUUGACCUGAGUUCUUGUGUGAAGUCUUCAGCAUUGAGCCAACAUGUGGUUACUGUUCUCGCAUCAGUCAUCACGCAGACCAACGGACGAGAUCUGCACUCGGAAUGAGGAAGUUAAACUCUGCUGUGGUUUUGACUAUCUAUGGACAAAUCCUGUGAGAAGCUUAGAGCCAUAGUCUUAGAACAACUUCAGUGUCCUGUAUAUAAUGUAAUAAAUAAUGAAUUACUUAUUAAACCUCUUUUUAGUUACUUUGAACAAAAUGCCCAAAUCACCUCUGUAGAACAGUUAAACAGCUGUGAUCUGUUUGAAUAAACGAUGGACUCACUGGA